RNAcentral lists this ribosomal RNA (930 nucleotides) under Trachelas japonicus. Its description in RNAcentral is "bacterial SSU rRNA". It matches the Rfam family "Eukaryotic small subunit ribosomal RNA", at positions 32 to 964 of the family's 1831-position model. Lineage: Eukaryota; Metazoa; Arthropoda; Arachnida; Araneae; Corinnidae. The record is from RNAcentral.
UUCUCUUGUAGUGGAUCCCCAAUGUGUAAGUUGAGCCGAUUUAAAGUGAGACCGUGAAUGGGUCAUUAUAUCUCUUAUGGUUCCUGGGAGCGGACCUUACUACUUGGAUAACUGUGGCAAUUCUUGAACUUAUACCUGCAGCAGAGCUCCGACCUUCGGGGAGGAUCGCUUUAUUUAAACCAAAGCCAAUCCGACCUCUGGUCCGUGCUUUGAGGAGACUCUGUAUCACUUUGGAUUGAUCGCACGGGCCGGUCGCGACGACUUAUCUUUCUUGUGGCUGCCUCAUCUUCUUACGAUGGGAUGUUGCGCGCCUACCAUGGUCACAACUGAUAAAGAGUAAUCGUGCUACUAUUCAGAAGAAGGCAGCUGAGAAACUGCUACCUCCUCCGAAGGAGGCAGGAGGCCCGCUUAUUACCCCCUCCCACAACGAGGAGGUGACGACAAAUAAUAACACUACGGUACUCUAUUGAGACCCCUGAAUUGAAAUGAGUCCACUCUCCAUCCUUAAAAUACGAUCCAUUGCAAGGCUGGUCUGGUGCCCCCCGCCACUUCCAUUUCCGCUCCCAUAUCUUAUAUUAGAGGCGUUGCGGAUAAUAAGCUCUGAACCGGAUCACAGUUCCCCACGGCUGGCCCGCCUAACCGCGGUUACUGCCUGCUCUGAAGAGCCAGACAGUUUCUCUGGAUGAUCUUCACGGGUCGUCUCGUCCUGACCUGCUACUUUACUUUAAUUAAAUUAGACUGCUCCAAGCAUGCGUGACGCCUGAUUAAUCGUGCAUGACAUCAUGGAAUAUGACCUCGGUUCUGUUUGGCUGCUUGUCCGAACUAAUGUUAUGAUGAACAGGCACAGGACGUUCGCAUUCUUUUGCAACGCUAGAAGUCAUAUUCUUGUACCGUCCCAACACCUGCUACUGCGAUAGCCUUUGCCAGGAA